This is a long non-coding RNA of Neodiprion virginianus, 1172 nucleotides long. RefSeq lists it as uncharacterized. The transcript has 2 exons. The record is from RefSeq and is a predicted model, not a curated record. Lineage: Eukaryota; Metazoa; Arthropoda; Insecta; Hymenoptera; Diprionidae.
GCAUUUCUAACCUCAACAGUACCAUGGACGCUCGAGUGCAACAAACUAUUGCGGCUGAAAUAAUUCGACGUAGGAAAGCAAUUAUCGUGUCAGCUGUAGCAACUGCUUUUAAACGUAGACAUCUACUGAAACAACGAAAACGUAAAUUGUGGAGUCGCGAGUGGCUGUUACGGCGUGAUAGAGGACAGAAUGUUCUAAAUAUGGUAUUUCGUGAGCUCGGCCCUGAAGAUCCAGCCAGUUUCACCAAUUAUACUUGAAUGAUGGAAGAUGACUGGAAUGAGUUGUUGACACUUCUGACUCCGGCCAUAAAAAAACAGGAUACCGUUAUGCGUCAAGCUAUAUCACCGAGGGACAGACUCACUGUGACUCUUCGAUAUUUAGCAACGGGCAAUACCUUUCAAGAUUUGAGCUACUCCACUCGCAUAGCCGCGAACACAAUUUCAAAAGUGAUUGACGAAACUUUAAGAGCAAUAGUAGAAGUACUCGACUCAAAAGUAUGAAAUUUCCCAUCAUCGCUGGAGGAAUGGCAGGUUAUCGCUCACAAAUUCGAUACUUUAUGGAAUUUUCCUCAUUGCAUCGGUGCGCUGGAUGGGAAACACAUCAAUUUUCGUCCCCCUCGAAGUGACGGAUCGAUUUACCGUAAUUAUAAGGGAAAAGACAGCAUUGUGCUUCUGGGUCUUGUCGAUGCUGAAUACAGAUUUUUGUUCGUUGACGUCGGAAGAAAUGGACGUAUGCACGAUUCUGCUGUUUUGCGUGAGAGCCCAUUAUGGACUAAGAUCAACGAUGGAACGUUGAACUUACCUGCUCCAUGUGAAAUUCCAGGCUUUUGUUACAAAUUACCGUACGUGAUUGUCGGUAACGACGCAUUUGCCUUGAAACCUAAUUUGUUAAAGCCGUAUCCGGAUAGAAACUUGACGCUUGACAAAAGAAUAUUCAACUACAGAUUGAGCCGUGCUCGCAGAACUGUUGAAAACGCUUUUGGCAUACUGGCAAACAGAUGGCGCGUUUUACUUUCUACGAUAUCUCUCUCCGUUCAAAAAGUAGAGAGAAUAACUUACGCGUGUGUGCUUUUACAUAAUUAUUUAAUCAAUAAAUCUAACAAUGAUUCCAGUCAAUGGUACGUACCGCAUAAUUACAGAAUCUCAACCCGCGUUGAUAGUAAUUGUAAUGCA